RNAcentral lists this ribosomal RNA (247 nucleotides) under uncultured bacterium. Its description in RNAcentral is "partial small subunit ribosomal RNA". It matches the Rfam family "Bacterial small subunit ribosomal RNA", at positions 26 to 285 of the family's 1533-position model. The record is from RNAcentral.
AGAAUCAACGCUGGCGGCGUGCCUAACACAUGCAAGUCGAACGAGAAAGGGACUUCGGUCCUGAGUAUAGUGGCGCACGGGUGAGUAACACGUGAAUAAUCUACCCUCGAGUGGGGAAUAACUGAGAGAAAUCUCGGCUAAUACCGCAUAACACUUACGAGUCAAAGCAAGCAAUUGCGCUUGGGGAGGAGUUCGCGGCAGAUUAGUUAGUUGGCGGGGUAAUGGCCCACCAAGACGAUGAUCUGUA